RNAcentral lists this ribosomal RNA (468 nucleotides) under uncultured bacterium. RNAcentral describes it as "partial 16S ribosomal RNA". It matches the Rfam family "Bacterial small subunit ribosomal RNA", at positions 28 to 507 of the family's 1533-position model. The record is from RNAcentral.
GACGAACGCUGGCGGCGUGCUUAACACAUGCAAGUCGAACGGAAAGGCCCUGCUUUUGUGGGGUGCUCGAGUGGCGAACGGGUGAGUAACACGUGAGUAACCUGCCCUUGACUUUGGGAUAACUUCAGGAAACUGGGGCUAAUACCGGAUAGGAGCUCCUGCUGCAUGGUGGGGGUUGGAAAGUUUCGGCGGUUGGGGAUGGACUCGCGGCUUAUCAGCUUGUUGGUGGGGUAGUGGCUUACCAAGGCUUUGACGGGUAGCCGGCCUGAGAGGGUGACCGGCCACAUUGGGACUGAGAUACGGCCCAGACUACUACGGGAGGCAGCAGUGGGGAAUAUUGCAAAAUGGGCGGAAGCCUGAUGCAGCAACGCCGCGUGCGGGAUGACGGCCUUCGGGUUGUAAACCGCUUUCGCCUGUGACGAAGCGUGAGUGACGGUAAUGGGUAAAGAAGCACCGGCUAACUACGUG